Long non-coding RNA from Meriones unguiculatus (Mongolian gerbil), 738 nucleotides. RefSeq lists it as uncharacterized. The record is from RefSeq and is a predicted model, not a curated record. The transcript is spliced from 4 exons. NCBI's taxonomy places the organism in Eukaryota, Metazoa, Chordata, Mammalia, Rodentia, Muridae.
UGCACGCUAUUUAAAAAUCUGAAGGAUGCGUGGGAAAAGGGGUUCUCUGGUCAUGAGAGAUGAUUUUCUGGGAAAAGAAAUGCGGGCGGGCGUAAAAAGGAAGGGCAGUCUCUAUCAGUCUCUGCUGUCUGUCUCUUCCUCCUCUUCCCCCAAGGGAAUACACAGAAUGAUUCUUGCCCAGUACCUUUUCUCUUUGAAUAUUUGAUGGAUGAGGGUACUGAGGCUGUCUUGGGUCAUGAAAGGAAAGCCAUACACUGAAAUUAUGGAACAGAAUGGGUUUCUCUGUGCAGUCUUGGGUAUCCUGGACUCAAUUUGUGGACCAGGCUGGCCUUGAACUCACAGAGAUCCACUUGCCUUUGCCUCCCCGAGUGCUGGGAUUAUAGAUGGAGACUACUACAAAAAAACCACAACCAAUAACAAUGAAGAAUUGUGGAGCCCAGUCCCAAUGGAUAUAUCUAAAAAGGAAAAAAAAAGGAAAAUGAAAUUAUUUUAUUCUGCAUUCAGAAUAAUUUGGAAGUGGACAGGCAUUAUUUUAUCUAUCUAUCUAUCUAUCUAUCUAUCUAUCUAUCUAUCUAUCUUCAAGACAGUGUUUCUCUGUGUAGCCCUGGCUGUCUUUAGACCAAGCUGUAGCUCUGUAGACCAGGCUGGCCUUGAACUCACAGCAAAUUGCCUGCUGCUUCCUCCCCAGUUCUGGGAUUAAAGGUUUCCUGAGUGGUGGAAUUAAAGGCAUGUGCCACU